Molecule: transfer RNA, 74 nt
Filed under: Mariniblastus fucicola
Lineage: Bacteria; Pseudomonadati; Planctomycetota; Planctomycetia; Pirellulales; Pirellulaceae
Description: tRNA-Arg
Rfam family: tRNA
About the family: Transfer RNA (tRNA) molecules are approximately 80 nucleotides in length. Their secondary structure includes four short double-helical elements and three loops (D, anti-codon, and T loops). Further hydrogen bonds mediate the characteristic L-shaped molecular structure. tRNAs have two regions of fundamental functional importance: the anti-codon, which is responsible for specific mRNA codon recognition, and the 3' end, to which the tRNAs corresponding amino acid is attached (by aminoacyl-tRNA synthetases). tRNAs cope with the degeneracy of the genetic code in two manners: having more than one tRNA (with a specific anti-codon) for a particular amino acid; and 'wobble' base-pairing, i.e. permitting non-standard base-pairing at the 3rd anti-codon position.
Source: RNAcentral
GCUCCCGUAGCUCAGGGGAUAGAGCACAGCUUUCCUAAAGCUGGUGUCGGAGGUUCGAAUCCUCUCGGGAGUGC